UACGAAGGGGGCUAGCGUUGUUCGGAAUCACUGGGCGUAAAGGGCGCGUAGGCGGCCGUUCAAGUCGGGGGUGAAAGCCUGUGGCUCAACCACAGAAUUGCCUCGAUACUGGACGGCUCGAGACCGGAAGAGGUCAGUGGAACUGCGAGUGUAGAGGUGAAAUUCGUAGAUAUUCGCAAGAACACCAGUGGCGAAGGCGGACUGACUGGUCCGGUUCUGACGCUGAGGCGCGAAAGCGUGGGGAGCAAACAGG
RNAcentral lists this ribosomal RNA (253 nucleotides) under uncultured bacterium. RNAcentral's name for it is "partial 16S ribosomal RNA". It matches the Rfam family "Bacterial small subunit ribosomal RNA", at positions 524 to 776 of the family's 1533-position model. The record is from RNAcentral.